GGGGUUGUAGCUCAGUGGUAGAGCGCUCGCUUUGCAUGCGAGAGGCCCGGAGUUCAAACCUCCGCUGCUCCA
Transfer RNA from Lobosporangium transversale, 72 nucleotides. It matches the Rfam family "tRNA". Rfam says of the family: Transfer RNA (tRNA) molecules are approximately 80 nucleotides in length. Their secondary structure includes four short double-helical elements and three loops (D, anti-codon, and T loops). Further hydrogen bonds mediate the characteristic L-shaped molecular structure. tRNAs have two regions of fundamental functional importance: the anti-codon, which is responsible for specific mRNA codon recognition, and the 3' end, to which the tRNAs corresponding amino acid is attached (by aminoacyl-tRNA synthetases). tRNAs cope with the degeneracy of the genetic code in two manners: having more than one tRNA (with a specific anti-codon) for a particular amino acid; and 'wobble' base-pairing, i.e. permitting non-standard base-pairing at the 3rd anti-codon position. The record is from Rfam. NCBI's taxonomy places the organism in Eukaryota, Fungi, Mortierellomycota, Mortierellomycetes, Mortierellales, Mortierellaceae.